RNAcentral lists this long non-coding RNA (8964 nucleotides) under Pelobates cultripes (western spadefoot toad). Lineage: Eukaryota; Metazoa; Chordata; Amphibia; Anura; Pelobatidae. The record is from RNAcentral.
CUGAUUCAAAAGUUUUAUUUUGGUUUACAAAACACAAAGCACAUUUUGCAGUAGUGGUAAUAUAUAUUUUAAAAUGUGAUUUUCCAAAAACUAUAAUGAUACAGUAAUAAAGUUAGAAAUAUGUAAAACAGAGUACAUAUCUAGCUGCAUCCAUGGUAUUAUAACUGUACAAUAUUGUAAAGCGUACCAUAAGCUAUAUUUUCAGUUUGUGUAGUCCAGUAAACUUAAUGUGAACUUUGCAAAUCUCCAUAAUUGCAGUCGUUAACUGAGGCUCUAUUAGGAUAUUAUGAAACACACAUUAAAGAGACACUUAAAGUACCAAAACCACUAGAGCUUAUAGAAAUGCUCUUCCUGCAUUGUAAUUUGUUAAAAACGGUAAUCACAAUUGACACCAAGGAUGCCUGUAGUGGCUGUUGCUGAAUGCAUUGCAUGUUUCUGUUAUGUAUGUUAUGUUUGGUUUACAUGCAACUAACUCUAUGGUUUAUUUUCUAUUGCAUGUGUUUCCUGUUGGGGUGUGUGCUUCCUUCCUGUAUCUCCUGAAAUAUGGCUGCUAUACAUGAAUACCGGGCAGUGUCUUUAUUUAUAUCUCCUGAAACAUGGUGUCAGAAGUAUCUGAACCUGGUCUGCUCUCACACAUUUGAUGCCAGGAGCUUGCAAGUCUUGCAGUGAGAGAUGUUUUGGAAGUGACUGUGCCUCCUGUAGCAAUUACAGCUACUACUGUCCUGCAAGCUGAGCAUUGGAAGCAAGAAAACCAGCAUCAUGGCAGCUGCUCAUAGCAUUCCACUACCCAAGGCAAUGAGGGGGAGUGGGGAUUGCAGGAUAACUUCAGAGCUGAGUUUGGCUACAGGGCCUAGCUAAAGGGCUGAAUGAGAAGCCUGCAGCAGUGAAAGCAGCCACACCGAGGACGGUGAUGGGCAGUGAGUGCUACCAUGUGUACAAGUAUAAUUUGAAGCUCGCAGAGGAGCAAAAGAUACUAAAGCCAUCCUUGAUGCAUUGGAAGCUUUCUUCAGACCUGCAAAAAGUGUAAUAUAUGAAAGAUAUAUAUAUAUUUGGCAGCUGCAAGCAAGAAGAAGGUGAAUGAAUAGACAACUUUGUCACAAGGCUAAGAGAAAAGGUUGUGAGUAUGGCUCCUUGAGAGAUGAACUUAUUCGUGACGAAAUAUUUCUAGGUAUUAAUACUGAAAGUACCCGCCGCCGCCUAUUGAGGGAACAUGAUUUAAACCUACAUGCUGCAAUUGAGAUAUGUCGCACUGCAGAACUUACCGACAAACAUAUAAGAGCUAUAGAGCAGGAUAAACAGACUGACAGCAUCCAUGCAGCCUUCAAGCAACAGCUAAGCUUGAAGAACCACUAGCACACGCAUCAAUACAAUAAUCACCAAAGAACCUCACCUGUGAGCAAGUCUACAUCAUGUAAGUACUGUGGCAGUAUUCAUGUGAGCAAGAAACAACAGUGUCCUGCAUAUGGGAAGACCUGUAGAUCAUGUGGUAGGCUAAAUCAUUAUGCUGGAGUAUGUCUGUCAAGAAGAAAGGAAGCAAGGGAGCUAAACACAAUUGAACAAAUGUCUGAUUCUGAGGAGGCACUCCUGCUUAGCAAUGAUGUGAUUUACUCAAAGGAAUGCAUUGGUGCUGUAAAGUUUAAGGGCAAAAAAUGGUUUGUAAAUCUCAAAAAGAAUAAUAUAUGUCAACCCUGCCAGUUGGAUUCUGGUGCAACAUGUGAUGUCAUGAGUUUGAAAGACAAGAUGAAACUGGCACCUAGGACACCACUUCAGCCUAGCAGCACCAAGCUGAAGCUAUAUUCAGGGGAACUAAUGGAAUCAUUGGGACUUUUCCAAACAGAGUGCACCAUACGUGAGCAUAUACACAAACUUGAAUUUGAGAUUGUUGAAGCCAAUCACAAACCUCUAUUGUCUGGUUCAGCAUGUGAGCGCCUGGGACUGAUGCAAUUCUCAAUUCCUGCUGAGCUGCACAAUAUUGAUAAUCAGGUUGCAAAUCCAUUGACUAGGCCACUGACAAAACUGAAAAUCCUCAAUGUCUAUAAUGAUGUGCUUAGUGGCCCAAUAGUAUCUGUUCCACGAGGGGUUCAUUAUGAACUGGAACCUACCAUUCCACCAGUACAAUGUGCCCCACACAAUGUACCAAUAGCCAUUAAGCCACAAGUAAAAGCGCAACUGGAUAAGAAUGAAGCUAACAGAUAUAUUACAUCAGUAUCAGAGCCAACUGAUUGGAUAAGCAACAUGGUAGUAAUUAGAAAGCCUGACAAGAUUAGAAUUUGCAUUGAUCCGAAGUUUCUUAACAUCAGGUCACACUACAAAAUGCCAACACUUGAGGAUGUUUUGCACAAACUGCCCAAAGCACAGGUUUUUACACUUGUUGAUGCAAGAGAUGACUUUCUACAGUGAAGACUGUUUAAAAGGGUAGCUACAUGACCACUUUCUGGAGGCCGAAAGAGAUGGCUCAAGCUGCCAGAAGUAUAUCACCGAAACCAGCAUGAACUGUUAAGUGGGCUCCACAGAACUGAACCAAUAGCAGAUGACAUUCUUAUAAUUGGCUGUGGUAAUACAAAUGAGGAAGCUGAGCAUGACCAUGAUGAGAAACUAGUAGCAUUAUUGGAUCACUGCAGGCAGGUAAUGCUGAGACUCAGCGUAAAGAAAUUACAAUUCAUGGUAUAAGAAGUCCGCUUCCAUGGACAUAUCCUGUCUCAACAAGACUUGAAAGCUGACCCAGAUAAGAUUAGAAUCAAAUAUGGAUAUGCCAUUGCCUGGUGACACCAAAGCAGUGCAGCGUUUUAUUGGCUUUGUCACAUACCUAGCAAAAUUCAUGCCGCAUUUGUCUUAGGUGUGUGAGCCAUUGAGAAGGUUUCUAGACAAAGAUGCAUUUGGCAUUGACUUCCAAGCAUGACCAGGCAGUGGAGGAAAUAAAAUGCUUGAUCACAGCUGAAAUAAUACAAUGUAAAAAAGCCUGUUGCAAUACAAAGCGACUCAAGCAAAAAUGGCCUAGGAUAUGUUUAUUGCAAGAAGGUCAGCCAGUUGCAUUAGCGUCCACAGCACUCUCUUCAGCUGAGCAAAAUUAUGCUCAAAUUGAAAAGGAAUGUUUAAGCAUUGUUUUUGCCUGUCAGUGCUUCCAUCAUUAUCUCUAUGGCCGGAAUGCAAUCAUAGCUGAAACUGAUCACAAACCGCUAAUAGCCAUAUUCAAGAAGCCGCUUUUAUGUGCUCCAAAGCGUUUGCAGAGCAUGAUUCUUACAUACAGAAUUACAACAUCAAUGUUGUGUACAAGCCAGGAUGUAAAAUGUACACCAGUAACACCCUAAGCAGAGCUACAACGGAACAUGUGGCACCUGAAGGUGAUCAUGAGCAUCUUGCAGUUUGUUUGUUGCAGCAGCAACAGAAUUUAUUUGCCAAAGUCAAGCAAGCAGACUAUCUUAAUGUCACAGAUCAGCUACAUCAGCUCAUACAGCACACAGAAAGUGAUGCAACUUUGCAAGUACUGAAGUCUAUAGUUCUGAUGAGGUGGCCAGAUGAAAAGGAUGUAACACCUGCAAUUGCGAAGGAAUAUUGGUCCUUCAGAGAUGAGGUCAGCAUACAAAAUGGUAUCUUGUACAACGGUGCAAGGGUCAUAGUGCCAAAGUCACUGAGAGCAGAGAUCGGAGGCAAGAUUUGCUACAGACAAGCUCAUGAUACUCUUUACUGGCCCAACAUGCAAGUUGAAAUCAAAGACUUUGUAAACAAUUGUCCCACUUGCAAUGAAUAUGCACACUUGCAACAAAAAUAAACCAUGAUGUCCCAUGAGAUACCUACACAUCCUAGGCAGAUUGUCAGCAUGGACUUAUUAAACUAUGCUGGAAAAUAGUACCUGCACUCAGACUUCUGGGAAACUGAUGUGCUUCCUCACCUGUCCACUGAAACUACAAUUAAGCGAUGCAAGCUGCAAUUUGCAUGUCAUGGCCAACCAGCUAAAGUGAUUUCUGAUAAUGAUCCUCAGUUUGCAAGCUUACAUUUCAGGACAUUUGCUACUGAAUGGGAGUUUGAGCAUGUGACUUCUUCACCAUGCCAUCCACAAGCUAAUGGCAAAGCUGAAUCUGCUGUGAAAAUACUGUAGUGAAGAAUAAUAAAUAAUAAAAAAAAAGUGAUGAUAAAGACCUCGUGGAAAGCCAUCUUACAUUGGAGAAACACUCCAACUGAGGGUAUGGAUAGUAGUCCUGCACAGAGACUGAUGUCAAAGAGGUUCAAGUAGCCAACAAGCUACUUGAACCAGAAAAGUUGUACCAGAAAUGUUAUGACUUAAGAGGUGUACCAGAAAAGGUAUAAGGUGAUAUAAGGUGUAUCAGAAAGGUUACGACUUAAGAGGCAAGUGUUCAAGGCAAGAUAUGACUAAUCUGCUAGGGAUUUACCUGAACUGAAUAUUGGGGAACAAAUCCAUAUGAAACCGCUUCCUGGAGAUCUAACAAGUCGCUGGAGAAUGGGAACCUGUCUGCAGAUCUGACGCAAUCGUGUGGAUCUGCGAGUGGUCGAGAAGCCUGAUUCACAAUAUCCAGUUGACAAGCCAGACACACCUGGUAUUCCAAGGACACACUCAUAUGUCGGAAGUAAAGAGUGUACAGAAGUGAUAUCACAGACUAAUGACAGCCCUAAGUAAGCAGGACCUGAAAGCAGUCAAGGAGAGAGAGUGUGUUUGUAUUUGUACUAAUUAUUUAUAGUGGUGGAACCCUUUUGUUUAAAAAAAAAAAAAAAAAUCCCCAAACUAAACUAUUCCCAGGGAAACCUAAUCUCUGGUGGUCCGGUGGGAGAUGUAGCAUGUCUGCACCUCCAGCUCCUUCUUGCCAGUACAGGGAAAUAUGUCACAGCAUUGCUAUGGUAUUCCGCAGUAACGCUCAGAUACAGUACAGGCGAGCAAGACCGCUAAAGGUGUCUCUAUUAGUACACCAGUCCUUCAGGCACCACAGCAGGAGAAUGGGCUGGCUGGCUUUGAUCUCACCACCGUACUUGCUGCCCCUGUCCUCUCCACUGUAAUUUAUAGGAUUUGAACCCCCAUCCCUGUGCUCUUUACUCCAUUGUUAAAAAAUAAUAUUUUUUGGAUGUUAGAGUGCUCUUUACUGCAUAUAGACAGGGCCGGUGCCACUGUUAGGCGAACUAGGCAUUCGCCUAGGGCGCCGGCCUGCUGGGGUGCACACCGGAAUGCUUCCUGCCCUGUCUGGAUCCACAGCGCUGGACGAGCGGCUGCCCUCCCCAGCGCCGGGCCUAUCCUCAAGGUGCCCAAAGGUGGGGGCAUUGUGAUGAUCCCUGUCACAGGGGGGCCAGUAGGAAGUCAUCUGGCCACCUCAGGUCGCCCCCGAAGCUGUGCGCUAGGUAAGUCAGAGCAGGCACCUGCUUACCUUAAUGGCAGGUGCCUGCUUUGCCAACAAAUCCCAGUGGGCGGAGAAGGCAAGCGAUGAGGGAGGCUGUUCUUGCAGUCUCUCACUCCUCUCUUGCGCGCCCUCUGUGAUGCCGGGAGCCGGAAUAUGACGUCUUUCCGGCCCCGGCAUACUAAACAGCGCACUGGAGGAGUGAGGAGAUGCCCCACACUGGACUUCAGGGAAGUGAGUGUUUGAGUAUUUGGCUGUAAGUGAGAGUGUGUGUGAGUGUCUGUCUGCCUGUGUGUGUGUGUGAGUGUUUGACUGUCAGUGUGUGUGUCUGCCUGUGUGUGAGUAUGUAUGUCAGUGAGUGUUUGUGAGUGUAUGUCUGAUAGUGAGAGUGAGUGUGUGUAUGUCUGUCAGUGAGAGUGUGUGUGUGUCUGUCAGUGAGUGUGUGUGUCGGUCAGUGAGUGUGUGUGUCGGUCAGUGAGUGUGUGAAUGUCUGUCUGUCUGUCAGUGAUUGUGUGUUUGUCUGUCAGUGAGUGAAUGUGUGUCUGCCUGUGAAUAAAUGUGUCUGCCAGUGUGUGUCUGUCAGUGAGUGAGUGAAUGUCUGUCUGUCUGUGAUUGUGUGUUUGUCUGUCAGUGAGUGAAUGUGUGUCUGCCUGUGAGUAAAUGUGUCUGCCAGUGUGUGUCUGUCAGUGAGUAAGUGACAUGAGGAGGGCGACAAAAUGGAUCUUUGCCUGGGGAGGCAGAAAUCCUUGAACCAGCCCUGCAUAUAGAUUACUGUGGCCAUAAAAAGCCAGAACACUUAUAUGGUAUAGUCUCCUCUCCACAGUCACUCCAUGUCUGAUGAAAUGUGUCCAACCCAGUGCUUCUAAUACAGAAGCAUUAGGGACAUGUGCAGCAAUUGCCAUGCUCUAUCAUUCCACUGCGUUUUAAAGAUAAGCUAUGAGAAGCACUAGUUGCAUUUGGUUCCAUCUUGUGGCGUGUGAUGGUAUUGAACGUGAAGAUCAUAAAAAAUGAAAAUAAACGCCUGACAGCCACUAGAGUUGUGGUUUACGCAAAAUGCAUUGUAGUUUCUCAGAAAUGGCAAUAUUUUACAUUGUCAUAGAAAAGGGACAGGGUCUCUGAAUCAAAACUACUUACCGUAUAUACUCGAGUAUAAGUCGACCCGAAUAUAAGUCGAGACCUCUAAUUUUACCCCAAAAAAUUGGGAAAACUUAUUGACUCGAGACUGGGGUGGGAAAUGCAGCAGCUACUGGUAAAUUUCUAAAUAAAAUUAUAUCCCCCAAAAAUUAUAUUAAUUGAAUAUUUAUUUACAGUGUGUGUAUAUAAUGAAUGCAGUGUGUGUGUGUGUAUAUAAUGCAAUGUGUUUGUAUGAAUGCGGUGUGUGUGUGUGUGUAUGAGUGCAGUGUGUGUGUCUAUGAAUGCAGUGUGUGUAUGAGUGCAGUGUGUGUGUGUGUAUAUGAGUGCAGUGUGUGUGUGAUGCAGAGCCUUGGUGGGGGGUGGGCAUUUUUAUAAAUUUUUUAAAAAUUAUUAUUUUAAUAUUAAAUUAAUUUUUUUUAUAUAUUAUUAUUUUAUUAUUAUUUAAAUCUUUAUUUAUAUUUAUUUUUGUCCCCCCUCCCUGCUUGUUAGCUGGCCAGGGAGGGGGGCUUUCAUUCCCUGGUGGUCCAGUGGGGUACACUGUGUAGGAGGGGGGCUGGCAGCGAGCUGUAACUUACCUUUCCUGCAGCUCCUGUCAGCUCCCCUGUAAGUCUCGUGGUGUGAGUGCCGCGCGGAGCGUUGCCACGGUAACCCAUGGCAACGCUCUGACCCCGCAGCUCUCGCAAAACUUGCAGGGGAGCUGACCGGACCGGAGGAGAGAGAAGGGAGCUGACAGGAGCUGCAGGAAAGGUAAGAAAACACUUCCUGCCAGCCUCCAACAGGACCGCCGGGCUUGUAAUGAGCCCAGCGGUCCUUGUCUGUAUUAUGGCAAUGUACGUUGCCAUAAUACAGACAGUGACUCGAGUAUAAGACGAGUGGGGGUUUUUUAGCACAAAAAAUUUGCUGAAAAACUCGUCUUAUACUCGAGUAUAUACGGUAAUUAAAACAAAGUGGUUUUAAUGCUUAGUGUCCCUUUUAAGCUAAGCAUACGUUUUGCAUACUAUAAAACAUUAAAAUUGGUUAAAACUGCAAAUUAUUCACCCCGUGACUUCAUUUUAUGUAGAAAGCAAAAUGUAGAAAGUCCUUGCACUCACGCUUAGUAGACUGUUUGCCGGGUGCUUCAAAUCCAGGAAAAUUCUAAUAUAUAUAUAGAUAGUGAUCAGCACUCACGGACUUGUGAAGAUUAAAACAUACAGUUUAUUGAUAAUCCAUUAAAAAUAAGAUCGACGUUUCAGUCCCAGCAGGGACUUUCAUCAGGAUCAGGCAUAUAUAUAUGUGUGUGUGUUUUUGUGUGUAUAUAUAUAUAUAUAUAUAUAUAUUAGGCAUAUAUUUUUUUAUUUGAUAGACCUCACAUGCAGAGUUAACAUUCUGAAUUUUAGUGAUUAAAAUCUAAAUGGCAGCAUGUAUGUUAAAAUAGCCAAACUGUGCUUAUUACAGUUUGGGAUUUUAAAAAAUAUAUAUUUUUGCAUACAUUUUGCCAUUUUAAAUAUAAUUAAAUAAAAUUUGGAGUCCAGUGAAUAACCCUAUAUGUGUAUUUUUUUGUCAUUGAAGGCUUCAAAUUCUUUUGUUCUUAUUACAUUGAAAGAUGCCAGGACCAGGGUCUUACCGAGUAGCACUAGAUUGUGCUUGUCUUGAGUCUAAGAGAGCAGUCAUAACCAAAUCUGGACCAAGGCGCACUACAAUAAAAGAAAGGUUUGUAGUGGAAAUCUAUUUCUGUUGCUUUUUAUCUUCUUCACCAAUUUAUAAAUGUCACAUUUACUUGGUCUUAUUAAUAAACAUAUGCAGACUUCCAGACAAAUUCACUAAUUUUAAUUGGCAGACAUAGAUGUAAAUUUUAAUGCAGAUAUUUGUGUGUGUGUGUGUAUGUAUAUGUAUGUAUGUGUAUAUAUAUAUAUAUAUAUAUAUAUACACACACACACACUUUUUUUUUAAACUGCACUCAACCUAUUAUAGUCCUGAAGACACUUAGAUUGUGGUUUCCCCACUAUUUUGUUUGGCACUUGGAGCAUAAUGUCUAAAUAAUAUGUUAUGUGCUAUAAACAAAAAAGAGCCAGCAUUUGAAACUGUGGCACAUUCCUUAAGAACAUUUUUGUAUAUGAUAGAAAUCAGUAGGACUAAUUCACUAAACCGCGAGUUGUAGGGAAAUGGCAAGGGAAUUGCACACACACCUAAAACUAUAUAUAUAUUUUUUUAAAUCACCUGUUACAUUGCUGUGAAAAAAGUAAUGCAUUUCCAUCUGUAAAUGCUAUAAUUGUACUAUAGUGGUAAUAUGUCAUGGAAAUGUGUACUCCAGUAAACCUUUUUACACCAAUAUUUUACGAGUGUGCAGCAAUCGAAAAUAGAAGCAUAUCUUAUUCUAUUAAUGAUUUCAGAUCAGGGACAUUUUUGAUUUCCAGGUCCAGUAACAUCUGCCCAAAUGCCUUUCCCUGAAAAAAAGCACAAGAACAUUAUGAACAUGAUUUAUAUUUUAUUGCAAAUUCAAUUACAGCUUUCG